Molecule: ribosomal RNA, 875 nt
Filed under: Curtobacterium sp.
Lineage: Bacteria; Bacillati; Actinomycetota; Actinomycetes; Micrococcales; Microbacteriaceae
Description: bacterial SSU rRNA
Source: RNAcentral
UGCAGUCGAACGAUGAUGCCCAGCUUGCUGGGUGGAUUAGUGGCGAACGGGUGAGUAACACGUGAGUAACCUGCCCCUGACUCUGGGAUAAGCGUUGGAAACGACGUCUAAUACUGGAUAUGAUCACUGGCCGCAUGGUCUGGUGGUGGAAAGAUUUUUUGGUUGGGGAUGGACUCGCGGCCUAUCAGCUUGUUGGUGAGGUAAUGGCUCACCAAGGCGACGACGGGUAGCCGGCCUGAGAGGGUGACCGGCCACACUGGGACUGAGACACGGCCCAGACUCCUACGGGAGGCAGCAGUGGGGAAUAUUGCACAAUGGGCGAAAGCCUGAUGCAGCAACGCCGCGUGAGGGAUGACGGCCUUCGGGUUGUAAACCUCUUUUAGUAGGGAAGAAGCGAAAGUGACGGUACCUGCAGAAAAAGCACCGGCUAACUACGUGCCAGCAGCCGCGGUAAUACGUAGGGUGCAAGCGUUGUCCGGAAUUAUUGGGCGUAAAGAGCUCGUAGGCGGUUUGUCGCGUCUGCUGUGAAAUCCCGAGGCUCAACCUCGGGCUUGCAGUGGGUACGGGCAGACUAGAGUGCGGUAGGGGAGAUUGGAAUUCCUGGUGUAGCGGUGGAAUGCGCAGAUAUCAGGAGGAACACCGAUGGCGAAGGCAGAUCUCUGGGCCGUAACUGACGCUSAGGAGCGAAAGCAUGGGGAGCGAACAGGAUUAGAUACCCUGGUAGUCCAUGCCGUAAACGUUGGGCGCUAGAUGUAGGGACCUUUCCACGGUUUCUGUGUCGUAGCUAACGCAUUAAGCGCCCCGCCUGGGGAGUACGGCCGCAAGGCUAAAACUCAAAGGAAUUGACGGGGGGCCCGCACAAGCGGGCGGAGCAU